AAGAUUUUAAGUUAUUAAAACUAAUAACCUUCAAAGUUAUCAAAAAAAGUCAUAUAUCUUUUAAAUCUUA
Molecule: transfer RNA, 70 nt
Filed under: Latreillia valida
Lineage: Eukaryota; Metazoa; Arthropoda; Malacostraca; Decapoda; Latreilliidae
Description: tRNA-Trp
Source: RNAcentral